Molecule: ribosomal RNA, 253 nt
Filed under: uncultured bacterium
Lineage: Bacteria
Description: partial 16S ribosomal RNA
Rfam family: Bacterial small subunit ribosomal RNA
Source: RNAcentral
GACAGAGGGGGCAAGCGUUGCUCGGAAUUACUGGGCGUAAAGAGCUCGUAGGCGGCUUGUCGCGUCGACUGUGAAAUCCCGCGGCUCAACUGCGGGUCUGCAGUCGAUACGGGCAGGCUAGAGUUCGGUAGGGGAGACUGGAAUUCCUGGUGUAGCGGUGAAAUGCGCAGAUAUCAGGAGGAACACCGGUGGCGAAGGCGGGUCUCUGGGCCGAUACUGACGCUGAGGAGCGAAAGCGUGGGGAGCGAACAGG